CUGCAUCUUCUCUCUACCCUACGUCUCCACCGCGGCCGCAACUCAGAUACAUCAGUUCCUCGACGAGAGAGGAUCGUCUUCUCCCUCUACUUCUGUCUCCCCUCUCUCUCUCUCUCUCUCUCUCUCUCUCUCUACUCUCUUCUGCCGAUUCCUCCCCAUGAGCCAGUUCUCUCAUCUCCCCCCCUCGGGGGACGACCACGAUCGGCAAGUCUAUCUCCACCCCUUCUUGCCCACAUACGAUACUUCUUCUCCCCUCCCUUGCGCCAUCUUCUUCCGCCCCUGCGAGGAAGGAUCAAGUGAGAUCGAUCAUCAACGAAGUCCCCCCCCACAGC
This 332-nucleotide long non-coding RNA is filed under the name Spirodela polyrhiza (greater duckweed). RNAcentral describes it as "long non-coding RNA (SPOL_LNC000068)". The record is from RNAcentral. Lineage: Eukaryota; Viridiplantae; Streptophyta; Magnoliopsida; Alismatales; Araceae.